RNAcentral lists this small RNA (125 nucleotides) under Microgenomates bacterium SCGC AAA011-J08. Its description in RNAcentral is "LOOT RNA". It matches the Rfam family "LOOT RNA". From Rfam's summary of the family: Latescibacteria, OD1/Parcubacteria, OP11, TM7. Lineage (Microgenomates, aka OP11) Lineage: Bacteria; Candidatus Microgenomatota. The record is from Rfam by way of RNAcentral.
CGCCUAAACUCUAAAUAUUUUAGAGCAUGGCGGAAAAGAAUCCAGUACAGGAAACGAGAGCUCCUCGUUCAGCUCACCUGUACUGGUCAUAACUCGAAAGGGUUAUGGGAGUCCGAAAGGAUUCC